This 1495-nucleotide ribosomal RNA is filed under the name uncultured Herbaspirillum sp. RNAcentral describes it as "bacterial SSU rRNA". It matches the Rfam family "Bacterial small subunit ribosomal RNA". The record is from RNAcentral. Lineage: Bacteria; Pseudomonadati; Pseudomonadota; Betaproteobacteria; Burkholderiales; Oxalobacteraceae.
UAGAGUUUGAUCCUGGCUCAGAUUGAACGCUGGCGGCAUGCCUUACACAUGCAAGUCGAACGGCAGCAUAGGAGCUUGCUCCUGAUGGCGAGUGGCGAACGGGUGAGUAAUAUAUCGGAACGUGCCCUAGAGUGGGGGAUAACUAGUCGAAAGAUUAGCUAAUACCGCAUACGAUCUACGGAUGAAAGUGGGGGAUCGCAAGACCUCAUGCUCAUGGAGCGGCCGAUAUCUGAUUAGCUAGUUGGUGGGGUAAAAGCUCACCAAGGCGACGAUCAGUAGCUGGUCUGAGAGGACGACCAGCCACAUCUGGGACUGAGACACGGCCCAGACUCCUACGGGAGGCAGCAGUGGGGAAUUUUGGACAAUGGGCGCAAGCCUGAUCCAGCCAUACCGCGUGGGUGAAGAAGGCCUUCGGGUUGUAAAGCUCUUUUGUCAGGGAAGAAACGGUUGCAGCUAAUAUCUGCGACUAAUGACGGUACCUGAAGAAUAAGCACCGGCUAACUACGUGCCAGCAGCCGCGGUAAUACGUAGGGUGCAAGCGUUAAUCGGAAUUACUGGGCGUAAAGCGUGCGCAGGCGGUUGUGUAAGUCAGAUGUGAAAUCCCCGGGCUCAACCUGGGAAUUGCAUUUGAGACUGCACGGCUAGAGUGUGUCAGAGGGGGGUAGAAUUCCACGUGUAGCAGUGAAAUGCGUAGAUAUGUGGAGGAAUACCGAUGGCGAAGGCAGCCCCCUGGGAUAACACUGACGCUCAUGCACGAAAGCGUGGGGAGCAAACAGGAUUAGAUACCCUGGUAGUCCACGCCCUAAACGAUGUCUACUAGUUGUCGGGUCUUAAUUGACUUGGUAACGCAGCUAACGCGUGAAGUAGACCGCCUGGGGAGUACGGUCGCAAGAUUAAAACUCAAAGGAAUUGACGGGGACCCGCACAAGCGGUGGAUGAUGUGGAUUAAUUCGAUGCAACGCGAAAAACCUUACCUACCCUUGACAUGGAUGGAAUCCUGAAAGAUUUAGGAGUGCUCGAAAGAGAACCAUCACACAGGUGCUGCAUGGCUGUCGUCAGCUCGUGUCGUGAGAUGUUGGGUUAAGUCCCGCAACGAGCGCAACCCUUGUCAUUAGUUGCUACGAAAGGGCACUCUAAUGAGACUGCCGGUGACAAACCGGAGGAAGGUGGGAAUGACGUCAAGUCCUCAUGGCCCUUAUGGGUAGGGCUUCACACGUCAUACAAUGGUACAUACAGAGGGCCGCCAACCCGCGAGGGGGAGCUAAUCCCAGAAAGUGUAUCGUAGUCCGGAUUGGAGUCUGCAACUCGACUCCAUGAAGUUGGAAUCGCUAGUAAUCGCGGAUCAGCAUGUCGCGGUGAAUACGUUCCCGGGUCUUGUACACACCGCCCGUCACACCAUGGGAGUGGGUUGCACCAGAAGUAGCUAGUCUAACCUUCGGGAGGACGGUUACCACGGUGUGAUUCAUGACUGGGGUGAAGUCGUAACAAGGUAACC